CAGUUUGGUGCAUAGACAGUUUAGCAAGGUGGAUGUGGGACUCGCUGGAUGGUCAUCACCAAAAAGCCAGUGCAAUGCCUCAUGAUUUACUCUAAUAUCAUCAGGACACAGCAAAAAUACCUCAAAUUAAACAUCUAUGAAAAAAAAACAGACUAAUGAAAUUGGAGAGCAUUCAAACUCCUCUGAAGUUCAUUCCUGAGACCUGUUAGUCUCCAAGACAGAAAGCAAGCAGGAGGGAGAAAGUGGCUAAGACAAGUCUGAGAAAGGAGAAAUCAUGAUUAAGAAGAAAAAAAGGAGGAUAAUAUUUUCAAGGUGGAAAAGUUAACAG
This is a long non-coding RNA of Neopelma chrysocephalum (saffron-crested tyrant-manakin), 328 nucleotides long. RefSeq lists it as uncharacterized. The record is from RefSeq and is a predicted model, not a curated record. Lineage: Eukaryota; Metazoa; Chordata; Aves; Passeriformes; Pipridae. The transcript has 3 exons.